Molecule: non-coding RNA, 388 nt
Filed under: Eucalyptus grandis
Lineage: Eukaryota; Viridiplantae; Streptophyta; Magnoliopsida; Myrtales; Myrtaceae
Description: Eukaryotic small subunit ribosomal RNA
Rfam family: Eukaryotic small subunit ribosomal RNA
Source: Rfam by way of RNAcentral
AAGUUGUUGUAGUUAAAAAGCUUGUAGUUGGACCUUGAGUUGGGUUGACCGGUCCGCCUCAUGGUGUGCACCGAUUGGCUCAUCCCUUCUACCGGUGAUACGCUCCUAGCCUUAACUAGUCGGGUUAUCCUUCCGAUGCUGUUACUUUGAAGAAAUUAGAGUGCUCAAAGCAAGCCUACGCUCUGUUUAUAUUAGCAUGAGAUAACAUCAUAGGAUUCCGGUCCUAUUGUGUUGGCCUAUGGAAUCGGAGUAAUGAUUAACAGGAACAGUCGGGGGAAUGCCUAUUUUAUAGUUAGAAAUGAAAUUCUUGGAUUUAUGAAAGACAAACAACUGCGAAAGUUAACCACCCGCGGUGGUGGCGUAGGUGGUUGAGCAAGGGAACUUUUCA